This 510-nucleotide ribosomal RNA is filed under the name uncultured bacterium. RNAcentral's name for it is "bacterial SSU rRNA". It matches the Rfam family "Bacterial small subunit ribosomal RNA", at positions 26 to 518 of the family's 1533-position model. The record is from RNAcentral.
CUACAGAACGAACGCUGGCGGCGACGUCUUAAGCAUGCAAGUCGAACGGCAAGAGGUAGCAAUACCUCCUAGAGUGGCGGACUGGUGAGUAACACGUGGGUGACAUACCCUUCAGAUGGGGAUAGCUAUUAGAAAUAGUAGAUAAUACCGAAUACGAGCACAGGGGUUAGAGAUCUGUAGAGGAAAGGAGCUAAGGCUCCGCUGAAGGAAUGGCCUGCGGCCCAUUAGCUAGUUGGUGAGGUAAGAGCCCACCAAGGCGAUGAUGGGUAUCCGGCCUUAGAGGGUGAACGGACACAUUGGGACUGAGAUACGGCCCAGACUCCUACGGGAGGCAGCAGCUAAGAAUAUUCCGCAAUGGACGAAAGUCUGACGGAGCGACGCCGCGUUGGAUGAAGAAGGCCGGAAGGUUGUAAAAUCCUUUUGAAACUGAAGAAUAAGCGUUGUAGGGAAUGACAGCGUGGUGACAGUAGGUUUUGAAUAAGCAACGGCUAAUUACGUGCCAGCAGCGGC